UGCAAACAACUUUUAAAAGGAAGGCAUAUGAAAAAGACGACAAUGUUGAGGGUCCAUCACAGUUCUUUACUGAUAGUAUAGACAAAUGGGCUUAUAGCAGUACAGGGGUUUUCAUAGGUGAUGAGGAUGGUAGUCACCUAGCCAAAAACACAUCUGCUUUGAACUCAGAGGAUGCUGAGAUCUACCAAACUGCUCGUCUUGCUCCCAUCUCACUCAAGUAUUAUGGGCUUUGCUUGCGAAAGGGCAUUUAUAGACUGCGACUCUACUUCGCUGAAAUCAUGUUUUCUAAUGACCAGACAUUUGGUAGCCUUGGGAAACGCUUGUUCGAUGUUUCAAUUCAAGUGAGUGAAAAAUAUCAAUUUCAUUAUCGUUAUUCCAAAUAUAUAAAGAACUGACUGUACUUUUCAACAGGGGAAUGUAGUUUUGAGGGAUUUUAAUAUCAUGGAAGAAGCUGAAGGUGCUGGUAAGGGCAUUUAUAAGGAUUUUGAGGCUUCUGUUGAUGGUAGCACUCUGGAGAUCCACUUAUACUGGACAGGCAAAGGGACUAAUUCCAUUCCAAAAAAAGGCGUAUAUGGACCUCUCAUAUCUGCUAUCGCAGUGACAAGUGAGCUUAUCUCAUAUUUGGGGUUUUACUACUUUUCUUGCCACAAGCUUGUCAUGAUGUUAUAUAUCUUACCGUUCUUGUAGAUUCUGAUCCCAACUUGGGGCUGUCUAUUGGAGGUAUUAUCGGCAUUGUGAUAACUUCAUGUAUGGUCCUUGUAUUGAUUUUGGUACUCCUGCGAAUGAAAGGCUACCUAGGAGGGAAAGACCUUGAAGAUAGAGGUGAGAUUAAUAAUGCAGGAAAUUUGUGACUCUAAUGCCUUAUCUCUUUGAUAUUGUGACAAUACUUUGGGAAUAUUCGAUAAUCUCUGUGCUUGUUUUUCACCAAUUUUAUUUCACUUGUUACAGAACUACGUGAGCUAGGGAUGCAAACUGGUUAUUUCAGUUUACGACAGAUCAAAGCUGCAACAAAUAACUUUGACUCUGCGAGUAAGAUUGGUGAAGGUGGAUUUGGGCCAGUUUACAAGGUAGUUACAGAUUUGGAUUUUCCUUUAACAACUGUAUGCCAAAGCAAUGAUUAAGAGGGAAAUGAAAUACUUUUCUGCAGCUAUCACACAUCCUUACAUUAUCUGAAUUCAUGAUCCCAAAUUUUGUCCUGCUUGAUCUUAGGGUGUACUGUCAGAUGGUUCAGUAAUUGCUGUUAAGCAACUCUCUUCAAAAUCGAAGCAAGGGAACCGAGAAUUUGUAAAUGAAAUAGGCUUGAUAUCUGCCUUACAACACCCAAAUCUUGUGAAGCUUUAUGGCUGUUGUGUCGAAGGAAACCAGUUGUUGCUCAUUUACGAAUAUUUGGAAAACAAUAGUCUUGCACGUGCACUUUUUGGUAAAUGCUUCACUAGAAUUUUGUAUUCCAUUUUAUUAUAUUUCAACAAUGAAUAUUAUGACUUAAGCCUUUCCCUCGACCACUUGUAGGUUCCGAAGAACAGCGGCUAAAUUUGGACUGGCCAACUAGGAAGAAGAUAUGCUUGGGGAUAGCAAGGGGAUUGGCAUAUCUUCAUGAGGAGUCAAGAUUGAAAAUUGUUCAUAGAGAUAUAAAGGCAACAAAUGUGCUGCUUGAUAAGUAUCUAAAUGCUAAGAUAUCCGACUUUGGCUUGGCUAAGCUGGAUGAAGACGAGAACACCCAUAUCAGCACGCGGAUAGCUGGAACGAUGUGAGUGUUUUCACUCAUUUCCUCCUGUUAUUAGCUUCCCUAUAUCAAAUUUGUAUAUGAUAUAAGAUUAUAACUUUGGUGCUGAAAAUGGGGAGAUUAAUUUCUUCUAUGCAUUUGAAUUCAUGUCAGAUAAAUAAUAAAUUGAUACAAUGAGAUGGAAGUGACCUUGAUUGAUAGAAAACUUAAUCAAACACUGAAGUAUGGAAUUUCUAACUUGCAGUUCUUUUUUUCAUUUUAGGUUUAAAAAGCUCAUUCUCUUCAUUGUUUAUUCUGUAAAGUCGAUUUUUGAAACAGCUCUAGAAAGGUCCAACUAUUAUUGAGAAUUUGUUGCUACAAAAUCUGAAGCAUCAGUGGCUUCGAGGCAUAAGUUGUCAUAUGAACCUCAAAAGCAAAUGGGGUGAUCCUCUUUUUCAGGUUUUAGAGAAGCAGAAUUUAGUAAGACUGUUGAGUUUCUAAAGUGGGUUCAUGCAUAUACAGAAAAUUUUUCCUCUCAAAUAUGGUUGAUUAGUUCUUCUUGUCCUCUUUCCAACAAUAAUUUUGUGCAUAUAUUGAUUAUAUGUAUAGCACAAGACUCACCGUUGAGCUGCUGAUUUUUCUUCAGAGGAUACAUGGCUCCUGAAUACGCAACGAGGGGUUACUUGACCGACAAAGCAGAUGUUUACAGCUUUGGAGUUGUUGCUUUAGAGAUUGUCAGCGGGAAAAGCAACGCCAAUUAUAGGCCAAAGCAAGAGUCUGUUUAUCUUCUUGAUUGGGUAAACAAUUGCUUCUUGCUCAUCCUUUCUGCUUUAUUUUUUCUGACCAUAUGUGCUGAUAAUGAAAAACGUGUUUCGGGUUUUACAUCGGACUGCAGGCUUAUGUCCUGCACGAGCAGGGAAACCUUCUGGAGCUGGUGGAUCCAAGUCUUGGAUCAAACUACUCAGAGGAGGAGGUGAUGGGGAUGCUGAACUUGGCCCUCUUAUGCACCAACCAGUCCCCCACUCUCAGGCCAUCCAUGUCCUCUGUAGUGAGUAUGCUUGACGGCAAAAUUGCAGUCCAAGCACCAACGAUCAAGCAUGAUUCGAUGAACCCGGAUAUGAGAUUCAAAGCCUUUGAGAAGCUCUCACUGGACAGCCAGUCUCUUGUCUCAGCAUUCUCUGUAGACAGUCAGGUCCAAGGCAGCAUAUCAGUUGAUGGGCCAUGGGCUGAUUCCUCAAUUUCCCUCCAUAGCAGAGAAGAAACAAGGGGGUUUCCUUCAUCAAGCAGGGUUCUUACAGGACACCAAGAUCUUUACAAUACACAUUUGGACUGAUCAAUGAAAAAAUAUGAGGCAUACUAAUAAUACUUCCAAGUUGUUCUUGCUUGAAGUUUUCUAAAAACAAUUUCGAUUUGAUUCUUGAGGAAGUAGAAACAGAAAUAAGUAUAUUUUGUUGUAUGAUAUAUUUUAUGAUUAGAAUUGUAUUUUAGAAUUUCUUUUUUUAUUAGAAGUAAGAUACAACUCCAAAUAUGUUGCAGGAAGCAAAUUCUAUUUAGUUAACAAUUUAAAAAUAUUAAAAUUAUUCCUGGUUUUUUAUAAAAGGGCUCUUUAAAACACAGUUUGAAAGUCAAUAUUUGAACUAAUUGAGAGUAAUACUUUUACACAAAAUACUCUCUUGCUUAUAAAUUUUCUUGGAAAUUAUCUUAAAAUUCAAUUAUAUGCUUGACAUUUGUAAAGCAAUAAUUUAAUGAAGAAAAAUAAAAAAUAAAUAAAUAAGUAUAAGCAUGUACUUACAAUUAAUUGCUGUGGCCCAACUUCUCUUUAUCAUAAACCCCCACUUAAACCCCACUUCCUAACUCAUUCCACUCCCACUUCCCACCUCAUUCAACUCACUAUGGAGUGAACCAGCCAAUCAAGAAUUGCUGCAGAGAGAAUUCAUGGAAUCUUCGUCUCCUCUUCUCUUGUUGUUUCUGGGCAUCUUUUGCUUUUCUGAGUUCAUGUCCUGUGCUCAAUUGCCCACGGAAGCUGAAGGUGCCAGAAGCUCUGUAAUUCACUUUUCUUUUCAUUUCUGCCGAAAUGUAACUUGGGUUUUGUGUAGAAUCUGGUUUUGUUAGGGAAAUUUGAGGAAACGAAGAGUAAAUUUGAUGUUGGAAUUUGGGUUUUCCAAACUCUUUGCUUUGAUUUGUUUUCUUUCACAGCUUCAAGUUUAUGGACUGUUAUUCUUUUAAUCUUGUCCACGUUCUGGAAAUUCUUGAAGCAACAGAAAAGGAGGGGUGUCAGAUUUUGUUUUCAUUUCCUCUUCAUUUCUUCUGUUUUCUCUACAACCAAACAGUGGGUUGCAUUAGUCACUUCUGUGCUUAGUUAUACUGACUUUAAUCCAUGAAUAUUGUUUACUUUCUCAUUUGGGUGUCUGAAUAUUCAUGCAUCAAAAUUGAUCUUCAGACACCCUUAGUUUGGUUUGAGUCCAUUUUCUUGGAGGUUUCUGACGUAGCUAUUAUUUCCUGUUAUAUAAUUACAAUAUUUGUAUAAAAUUAUGUGAAUAAGUGCUCGGAUUGAGUCUUGAUGAAGAAAAUCAGAAAACUCCUUAGGGUUCUUAGACAAUCAAAGACAUCCAAAGGCACUUGGAAGUUUUUGGUCAGUAAAAGAACUAUAGCGUCAUAUAUCAAAAUUCCUUAGUUAAAUAUGAGAAUUCAGUUUUGCCCUCUCACAUUUUCCUUGAAUAGUUUUGUUAAGUAACAACAACUUGAUUUAUAUCGUUGCUGUCAAUUCAUAAAUUAACACAGUAUCAGAGCUUUGACUCUUGAAAGUGGGUCAAGGUGUUAAGUAUUAGCUUACUUAAUAUACAUCAUACAUUGAAAUAUGAUAUUAUUGAUUGCCUCAAAUAUUUAAGUGUUUCAUUUCUUCUUAGCAACUUUGAAUGAGGGCAAGGGGUGGAAUGUUUGUAGAAUUGCAACAGUUAAGGGUCCUUUUCUCGUAUGGGCAAGGGAUAAGAUCCCACAGACACAACCUCAGUGAAUGUUAUUUUCUAGACCAUUUUUGUAUUAUCUUUUGUAUGAGAUUUGGUUUAUAUGCAUGAUUCAUUGCAUGAAGGUCCUUUCCUGUGGAUCAGUUAGGUUGGGUGGUUAGGGUUAAUGGUUGGGCCAGAUCGGUGGGUUAUGGUAUUUGGUUGACUGGUUCCUUGGAUGACAUUGCAUUGUAAAACCAACUGAUGUUGAAAUGUCAAAGGUAAGAAAAAGAAUUAAUUAGUGAUAUGGAUAGUUCUUGACCUUAUGAUUAUAAAAUAAUCUAUAAUGUAGAUUAUUAAAUUUUCAAUAUACAAAAUUUAGAUUAAAUAGCCCUCUAAGACAAGGCAAUGCAAUGCAUGUGAAAUGAUUCAUGUUUUGGAAUAAAAAUACAUACAUUUUGAGGCAAACCAGGGUUCAAAGCAAGUCUUUACUCACUAGCUUUCAGUCCCUCACUUCUACUGAUGAGUCUUGCAGCAAAGUCCAUGCCUUACUCACAUAGUGUGAUCAGUUCAGAGAAGAGGUCAUAUACAAGUCAAUCUACUAUGGACUAAAUUAUUGGUUUUUUUGUAGAGGACUAGUUUUUCGCUUCAUCAUAUGUUACAUAUUUUUGUCGGAAACAAUAUGGUUAAACUAAAUGGAUAAAAUUCUUGCAGUUGUUCGAAGUAACCUGCCAUUUAUAACGACCUUCAAGUUCAAUGCAAAAUGUCUAUCAAGUCUUCUGUCCUGGUGAUGGGCCCCUCAUCCAAGAGAAUCAGAUCAUCCCUUUUCCUUGAUUUUGUUGUCCAUCUAACGCAAAAAUUAGACAUUGUCGAGUUUCUGAGGCAAGUUCAUGGAUAUACAAAAAAUUUUAACUCGCAGACAUUGUUGAUUUGCUCUUCUUGUGCCUCUUUCUAAUGAUGAUUUUGUGCACAUUGCUUGUUAGUAUUGAAGAAUUUGAAGAAAAAUAUGAAGGAAUUUUUUUAUUUUAUUCUGUGAUACGUUCCUUUACAAUGAAUGAAAGCAUAAAUAAAUAGCCUACGGAUAUGAGACAAUUCCGGAAUGGAAUUUCCCUUACAUGGAAAGUGAAUAAACUCUUACAUGGGAAUUAAAUAAACUACUCUUACAUGGAAAGUAAAUAAACUACUCUUACAUGGAAAGUGAAUAAACUACUCUUACAUGGAAAGUGAAUAAAGUACCUUGCUAGAAUUACUCCUAAAUCAAUUAUAAUAAAGGCAGUACAUUACACUAAUUAGGGAAGUAAACAGAGGAUGCUGGCUUGAUUUCCAACACUCCCCCUCAAGCCGCGUUGUAGAUGUUGAUCAUUCCAAGUUUUUCUGUCAGAUCUUCGAAGUUAACUCGAGCAAGAGCUUUUGUGAGAAUGUCAGCCGUUUGACAGUUUGUCGGAGUGUAGCUGACUUUGAAAACUCCUUCUUCAAUCUUUUCCUUGAUAAAGUGUCGAUCUAUCUCCACGUGCUUAGUUCGAUCAUGAUGAACCGGAUUCUUAGCGAUACUGAUGGCAGCUUGAUUGUCGCAGUAUAACACCAUGGGAUGCUUCAAUGGAACCCGUAAUUCUUCUAACAGCCUNNNNNNNNNNNNNNNNNNNNNNNNNNNNNNNNNNNNNNNNNNNNNNNNNNNNNNNNNNNNNNNNNNNNNNNNNNNNNNNNNNNNNNNNNNNNNNNNNNNNAAAGAAGAGACCCUUUCCCGGUGUCAUCUUGAGGUAUCUCAAUAUUCUGAUCACAGCAGUCAUGUGUUUUUCGGUUGGAUUAUUCAUGAAUUGACUUACCACACUAACGGAGAAGCCGAUGUCUGGCCUUGUAUGAGAAAGAUAGAUGAGUUUCCCCACAAGACGUUGAUAUCUUCCUUUAUCAACUGGCGCACUUCCAUCACUUUCUUCCAGUUUGACAGUUGUAUCCAUAGGUGUUUCUGCCAGCUUGCAUCCUAGCAUUCCUGUUUCAUUCAAUAAGUCCAGAACGUAUUUGCGUUGUGAGACUGCUAUACCUUUCUUUGACCUAGCAAUCUCCAUUCCGAGAAAGUACUUGAGGUUUCCAAGAUCCUUGAUCUCAAAUUCCUUUGUCAGUAAUUUUUUAAGUAAGUCAAUUUUCUCUUCAUGAUCACCUGUCAAAAUUAUGUCGUCCACAUAUACAAUGAUAAUUGCUAGUUUCCCUUCUGGGAAGUGUUUCACAAAUAAUGUGUGAUCGGAUUGACAUUGAACGAAUCUGUACCCUUUCACUACCUUAGUGAACCGUUCAAACCAGGCCCUGGGAGAUUGUUUGAGACCAUACAAGGAUUUUCGGAGUCUGCAAACCUUGUUGAAAUUUGAUGGCGUCUCAAGUCCAGUAGGAAUGUCCAUGUAAACUUCUUCCUCUAAGUCACCAUUGAGGAAUGCAUUCUUCACAUCAAGUUGGUGAAGCGACCAAUCGAGAUUAGCUGCCAAGGAUAAAAGUACACGAACAGUAUUGAGCUUGGCAACUGGAGCAAAAGUUUCUUGAUAGUCAAUGCCAUAGGAUUGGGUGAAUCCUUUGGCGACCAACCGAGCCUUAUACCUGUCCACAUUACCAUCUGCCUUGUACUUUACUGUGAAAAUCCACUUACACCCAACUGGUUUCUUACAUCUUAGGGAGGUCAGUAAUUUCCCACGUACCAUUCUUUUCCAGUGCCCGAACUUCCUCAUCGACUGUCGCCUUCCACUUAGGAUACUUGAAAGCUUCUUGAAUAUUCUGAGGAACUUGUAUCUCUGUGAUGCUAGAAGUGAAUGCACGAAACGUAGGUGAUAGCUUAUCAUAAGAAAUAAAAUUUCCAAUGGGAUGCUGAGUGCAUGAUCUAACUCCUUUCCUCCAAGCUAUGGGCAUAUUAAGAAUAUCAUUUUCUAACUCGGAAUCAACAGUACCAUUAGGAGCGUUGUUACCUGGAAGUUUGCUUGGAUUAGGACCCGGUUCUGCCUCAUGGGUUUGUUGAGAAAGUGCUCUUUCCUCUAUUUCCUCUUGGAUGUGCUUCUUAUCCCACAAGUCAACAAUGGACUCGGGUUGAUUAAAUGACUCUGGAGGAAUGUGAUUUUCAGUGGUGAUGGGUGACUCACUGAAUGACUCAAGAUCCCAAAAUUGAUAUUCUUGAGUUGAAUUCUCCCCCUGAAUAUCGUUUUUGGGAUAGUAAGGCUGGGUUUCAAAAAAGGUGACAUCCAUUGAAUUGUAGAAUUUUCUUGUGACCGGAGAGUAACACUUAUACCCUUUUUGAUUUGAAGAAUACCCAAGAAAGAUGCACUUGAGUGACCUAGGAUCAAGUUUACUUCUAUGUUGUUGAUUGAUAUGAACAAAGACAGAGCACCCGAAAAUUUUGGGUGGGACGGUGGAGAUGAGACGAGUAGUCGGAAAGGAUUUUAGGAGUGUUUGACAAGGUGUUUGGAAUUUUAGUACCCUAGACGGCAUCCUAUUGAUGAAGUAGGCUGCCGUAAGGACAGCUUGCCCCCGAAUAAUUUUGGAACAUUCAUGGAGAACAUUAGUGAUCUAGCCACCUCUAACAAAUGCCUAUUUUUCCUUUCAGCGAUUCCGUUUUGUUGUGGGGUAUCAACACUUGAACUUAAGUGAACUAUCCCUUCUUGUGCUAGAAAUUCUCCUAGAAUGGAGUUGAAAUAAUCCCUAGCAUUAUCAAACUUUAGAAUUUGUAUUUUUGACUGGAAUUGGGUCUGAAUCAUAUUUUUAAAAUUUUUGAAAAUUUGACUCGUUUCAGAUUUUUCUUUCAUGAGGAAUACCCAAGUUAAUCUAGUGUGAUCAUCUAUGAAUGAGACAAACCACCUAGUACCAGUUACAUUUUUUAUUCUUGACGGACCCCAGAUAUCGCUAUGAAUCAUUGAGAAUGGACUAGACUCUUUAUAGGGUUGAAUGGGAAAAUGAGACCGGACUUGCUUUGAUAAUUGACAGAUUUCACACUCAAAGGAUUGUGGAUUUUUAUUAAAUAAUGAAGGAAAUAAAUGCUUGAGAUACAUAACAUUUGGAUGACCUAAGCGAUAGUGCCACAACCUAAUUGCACUAUCGUUAUUUUGACAUGAAACCGAAAAAGAAUUACUACCAACUGUCAUUUGAGGUUGUUCUUGUGGAUCGUGGCGCUCCUUAAGGAUGUAGAGUCCAGAGCAUUCCUCAGCAUUGCCAAUCGUCUUCCCCGAAUCCAAAUCCUGAAAUUCACAGUGAGUGGAGGAAAAAUUAGUAAUACACCUCUUUUCCUUAGUGAGUUUACUAAUUGACAAUAGAUUACAGUCCAAGUUAGGAACAAGGAGAACAGAGUUGAGAGUAAGAUCCCUUGAUAGCACAACUGAACCUGUUCCGGCAACCUUUGAUAGUGAACCAUCUGCUAUUCGGACUGUUAAAUUAUUUGGACAUGAGCUAUAUGUAUCAAAAAUUGUCGCAUCUCCCGUCAUAUGAUCAGAUGCUCCUGAGUCCACUAUCCAAGGUUUUUUACGUUUCUUACCAGCAGUGAAGGCACUCAAAAAAUUACCUUUGUGAGCCAAGGUUCCGGAACUAAUGACCUGGUUGGAAGAUGAGCCAGUUUGUGACUGUACUGACAAAAGAGGAGACAGUAGUUUCUGAAGCAUCUCCAUUUGCUCCUUAUUAAAAGGGCUAGCUUCAGGUUGUGGCGAUUGUUCAUCGGUAGCCACAUGAUUGCCUCGUCCUUCUUUCUCAAGUGGUUGACGUGGCUUCCAAUCUACUGGCUUUCCAUGAAUCUUCCAGCAAGUUUCUCUUGAGUGUCCCGGCUUUCUGCAAUGAUCACACCAAGGUCUACCUCCUUUAAUUUUUUGACGGUUUUCAAAAGGAGCGAAUUGAGUAUUAAGAGCCGAGCUUUCUGCCAUAUUCAGUUGUUGAUGGGAUCCCAUCAUGAGAUUUUUCCGACUUUCUUCGCGACGGACUUUAGAGAAUGCCUCUCUGAGGCUAGGUAAGGGUUUUACUCCCAUGAUUCUUCCAUUAAAGAUGAAGACGAUGAGACAGGAUUAAACCUGCUCUGAUACCAUGAAGAAUUUGAAGAAAAAUAUGAAGGAAUUUUUUUAUUUUAUUCUGUGAUACGUUCCUUUACAAUGAAUGAAAGCAUAAAUAAAUAGCCUACGGAUAUGAGACAAUUCCGGAAUGGAAUUUCCCUUACAUGGAAAGUGAAUAAACUCUUACAUGGGAAUUAAAUAAACUACUCUGGAAAGUAAAUAAACUACUCUUACAUGGAAAGUGAAUAAACUACUCUUACAUGGAAAGUGAAUAAAGUACCUUGCUAGAAUUACUCCUAAAUCAAUUAUAAUAAAGGCAGUACAUUACACUAAUUAGGGAAGUAAACAGAGGAUGCUGGCUUGAUUUCCAACAAGUAUAUCACAAGACUCAACAUUCAGGUGCUGAUUUUUCUUCAGAGGAUACAUGACUCCUGAAUACUCGAAGAGGGGUUGCUUAACUGAGGAACAGCAACACCAGUUGCUGGCCAAAGCAGGAGUUUGAUUGUCUUCUCCAUGGGGAUAUCUUUUGGCUUCCUGCACGUCCUUUCUGGACAGUCUUUUCCUCUAUAUCUUCAAGUUUCAUUAUCAAUGUCCUCUGUAAUUAGCAUGCUCAAAGGCAAAUCUGCGGUCCAAGCAACGAGCAUCAAGCAUGAUACAAUCAACCCAGAUAUGAGAUUCGAAGCCUUUGAGAAGCUCUCAAUGGACAGCAAGCUUCAUGUCUCAAUAUUCUUUCAGGCCAGUUAGGUCCAAGGCAGCAUAUCAGUUGAUGAGCCAAGGAUGGAUUCCUCGGUUGCCUUCAAUAGCAGAGAAGACUCGAGGAUUCUUCAUCAAGCAAGCUUCUUACCAGGUCUGGAACAUGGAAGGUUGAGUCUACCCUAAUCUAACCAACCCGAAUCCAACUCAAAAAAAUGCAAGCUUUGGUUGACUGAUAAUGAAAACAUGAGGUAUGCGAAUAUUAUGAAAAAUGAUGCUUGAAAACUAUUUUGAUUUGAAUAUGUGCAGAUUCUUGUGUGAAUGGAGUGGUUCGAGUCAACACAGAGACAAGGAUUCAAAUAUAGAAAAAUAAAAUUCUGGAUGACACUUACUAACGUUGGAUCCAUGUUCUUCUCUUCUCUCUCUGGUGUUAAUUGUUGAUCGUCUCUUCGAAUUUUUUUUAGUAUGAAAAAAAGGAUGUAAUUUCAAUGUGGAAAAAAUGAUGAAGGGAAAAAGAGAAGAAGUUGGUAGAUAAUUGUGAUAAAGUUAAAAAAUCUAUGCAUUUAAUUAAUUUUUAAAAUAUGUGAAAAUAAUUUAUCAACAAACUAUUCUUAAAAUUCUCAAAUUCAAUUUAAAUUAUCUUAUGUAAUAUAAUUAAAAUAUAAUUCAUAAAAGUUUUAUAUUUAAAAUUAUAAAUUUAACCCUUUUUAUUAAAAAAAAAAUAAUGAUGGAAUCAUAGAAAAUAAUUUACAAAAGUUUUGUACAUUUAAAAUAAUAAAUUCAAUUAUUCAUAUUAACUUUAAAUUUCAUAUUAAAAAAAGUUAAAAUAUGAAAAUAAAAGGAUAUGAUAUAAAUAUAAUGAUUAAAAUUAUUUCUUAGUAUUUUAUAUUUCUAAAAGUUACUAUAAUAAGUUAAAAGAAUUUAUUUGAAGUAAUCAUAAAUAGAAAACUAAAAAAUUUAGAUGUUUAAUUAACUUUAAAAAUGUUUGAAAAUAAUUUAUCAAUAAAUUAUUCUUAAAACUCUCAAAUUUAAUUUAAAUUAUUUUAUUUAAUACAAUUAAAAUAUAAUUCACAAAAAAAUUAUCUAUUUAAACUAAUAAAUUCAACUAUUUAUGUAAACUUAUAUAAAAAAAAUGUAAUGAUACAUUAAUUUUUAAUAUUUUAAGUUUAUAAAGUUAUCGUUUUAAAAAAAAAUAAAGAAAAAUCUUAUAUUAUUAUAAUAUAUUACUAUUUAUUAUCUAUUAAUAUAAUAUUAUAGGAUAAUAUAUUAUUAUAUUUUAUAAAUGUUUAUUUACAAAUAUUAUUUAUUGAUAAAUAUCAAAAUUUUAACUAAAUUAUUUAUAUAUCAUGGAAAUAACAAAUUUUUAUGGAUAAUUAAUUUAAAAAUGGAGAUCAAUUUUUAUCUAUUUAUUUUACCGAAUCAUCAAAAUAAUUUCGAUUUAUAUUCUUUAAAUAAAAUAGUGAUAAACUUAAAAGUUUAAAUGAUUUAACAAAAAUAUAUGACGUAUAAUAUAGAUAUAGAAAUUAAGUUAAUUAUUUAAUUAUAAAAUAUAAAUUAUUUAAAGAAAUAUAAAAAAUAAUAUUAUAUUAUUAUAAUAUAUUAUCUAUUAAUAUAAUUGUGAUGCAUUUUUCGUGUCGAGAUUCACGUUUUAUUUGAAAUUUUGAUUUUUUUUAUUAUUUUAAAUUGUUUUCUUUUUUUUUUAAUAGAAAAUUAGAUGAUGUUUAUUUUUUUACUUAAUUCUAAAUAGAACCUUAAUGCUUAAUAGUGUUAAAUAUUAAGUAUUGGUUUUUAUAGUAUUUUAUUUCUAUUAAGUAUUAAAAAGUAAAGAAAAAUCAAUACGUAAUUUUUUCUAUUUAGAAAAAAGCUAUAUAUUUUGAUUUCUUUUAUUUAAUAAAAAAUUUAUAAUAAGUUAUAAAAAAGUAAAAAAAAAAAAUCAUGAAAAUAAAUUGUUUUCACCAAAAAAUAAAAAAAACAAACACCAGGUUAUAAUGAUAAAUGAAAGACUAAAAGUAAAAUAAAUAUAAAUAACAAAUUCAUGACUUUUACCAAUUAUAGUGAAAAAAAAAUUAUUUACCCUUAAAAAUAUCUUUUCAAACAUUAAAUGAUAUUUUUGGAUUCGUUAGAGUUAUAGUAAUAAUUUUAAGUUAGAAUUUCUUUUUUUUUGAUUUAAAUUCUAAAUCACUAUAAAGAAAAUUCCUUAUUCAAUUUUAUCCAACAUAAUAAACUAAAUAAAUUUAUUUUAAAAUAUUAAAUUAUUGAUAUUUUAUGAAUUUAAUGUCUAGACUUAUGGUGAAUAACAAAAUAUGAAAGAUAUGAUUAUAAAAAAAGAAAUAUUAACGGAGAUUAAAUCACGAAAUCAACAUCACCAUCACUUUCAUAAAGUAACUAAAGCUACUUUAAAAUCUCAUUUUGUUACGUGUCUGAGUUUCCAUGCCAUAAAUUUCAUGGGAAUUCAUCCUUAAAUUCAUUUGAAUUUAUAAAAUAAUAAUUUAAUGAAAAAGGAAAGUAAUGCGCAGCCAUGAACGUACCUUCGUGUGGUUGAACAUUCAAAGCUUCUCCUCUUUAAAAACCUCCCUUAAACCCCUCUCUCCCACUCAUUCAAUUCAGUGUAAAGCGAACCAGUCAUUCAAGAGUUGCUACAGAGGGAAUCCAUGGAUUCUUCGUUUCUUCUCCUCUUGUUGUUUCUGAGUUUCUUCUGUUUUUCUGAGUUCACAUCCCAUGCUGCACGUAUUCCAGACUAUGAAGGUAUCACCACUGUAAUCUCACUUUUUCUUUCCGUUUCUGGGGAAGAUGAAACUUGGCUCUUGUGUAAAAUUUGUUGUUGUUAAAGAAAUCUGAAGAAAAAGAGAAGUAAAUUUGGUCUUUUCGAGGUAUCUGUGCUUUGUUUAAUACUUCACUGCUAUAAUUUUUUGGAAUCUUGUGGAUUUCUCAUGGUUUGGGAUCUGAGAAUUUUGAUAUCUCUGUUUGUCUCACAGUUGUUUAAAUUUUAUCAUGCUCUGGGAAUUCUUAUGGAAACAGAAAAGCAGGCAUGUCAGAUUAUGUUUUAUUUUAUUUUUUUAAAAUUUUCCUCUGCUUUCUCUGCUACCAAACGUUGGCGUAUAUCAUUCUGCUGGAAAAUUCUUUGUGCCACUGCGCCAUAGCGAAUUUUUUCAUCUAAAACAAUAGGGUAUCUUAAAAAUAUAUAAAGUUUUAAUUAAUUUAAUUAUAUUUGAUUUUCUUUAGUAUUUAUACACUAAAAACAAAUAUGAGAAAAUAAUUUUUAUUAGCAUUUUUUUUCUUAUUAGAAAAAAAUCAAUUUAUUUUAAUUAUCCCACUAUGAAGGUAGAUAUGGGAAGAAAAGAUUGUGAAUAGCUUUUGGAUCGAGUCCAGAGUUAUCCAUGCAUCAUUGGACAAAGAUUUAAAAUACAGAUAUUUAUUACCAUGGAGGCAAUUCCAUUUGAUUAAGGAAAAUACAGAUAUUUAUUUUAGUAUUUCGACUUUAUUUACAUUGAAUUAUUACCUAUAUUGUCAGGAAAUGGUAGAAAAAGAAGGACAAGGAACAGAAUGGAAUGAAUAGCUUUCAUUCAGUACCAUGUCCACUUGAAUUAUCGGACCAUAUUGAAGUCAUCUCCAAGUCAGUCUCAGGUGACAGGUCCACUUGCUGGACUUUGGGCGCACCUGGAUUAAUCUUUAGGCCCACCAAUUUGUCUUGAUUUCAUGGUUGUCUGGAAUAAGGAUAUCGGGUUGCGUGUAGAAAAUUCGAUGAGUUACGGAUUCUUGUUGAUUGGUGGUGAUAUCAACUGGUCUUCAAAGUCAAAGGCAGAAAAAGAACGUUGAUAUGGACAAGUCUUGACCAUAUGAAAUGCAUCUUUUGGACUAAAAAUACAUGUACCUUUGUCUUUUGAAAAUACUAAUGAAAAAUAGGCCGUAUUUUGUCAAUUGUUUUUUAAAAUAAUUUUUUUGUUCUUCAGGAAAAAAUGAAUAAGAAAAUGUCUUUUACAACCAGAAAAUAAAAAAUGGAAAAUAAAUUUAUGUUUUUAAAAACUAAAAAUAAGGUAUUUGUAGAAAAUAUCUUUUAGUAUUUUCACUUGUUUUCUAAUGAUGGUUUUAAAAACUAAUUAUAUAAAUAUAGAAAAUAAUUAAAAAUAAAGUGCUAUAGAUAAAAAUUAUUUUUAAAAUAUAAAAAUAUAUGUUAAAAAAAAUAGAGAAACUAUUUUUCAAAAUUAUUUUCGAAAACACUUCCCAACCAAAGCUUAGUUUUUGAAAAAUAUUCUAUGAUGAUUUGUUAAAACAAAAUUUUUCUUUACAACUUAAAAUAUUUUUAAUCUGUUUUCUAUGUUUUUAAAAAUAAUUCUGAAAAAUAGUUUUUCUCUUAUGUUUUGUAAAAUAAAAAUUUGUUUGGAAAUUUAAAAUAUUUUAAACCUAUUUUUUAUUUUUUAAAAUAACUUUUAUAUAUAGUGCUUCAUUUUAAUCACACUCCAUAGAGUUGUUAUUGAUUGUAGAGGAUUACACUUCAUAAAGUUGUUAUCAUUAGUCAUUCUUUUUCUAUACAUUUAUAAAUCCUUAUAACUGAUCAUUUUGUAUCUACUCUGUAACAGUGCAAACUCUUAAAACAAUAUCCACAAAGCUAAACUACAAAUAUUGGAACAUAGGCCAAGGCUCAUGCAGUGGAGGUUUCAACCGAGCCAUCGAUGAUAAUAGCUACAGCAAUGUCACAUGCAACUGCACCUUCAACAAAGGAACUGUUUGCCAUGUCACAAACAUGUAUGAUUUUCUUUUCUUGUUCUUCCCUGACAUAAUACAUAUAUAAAAAAUUCAAUCCAUUAGACUAAUGGAAAAGUAAUUGCAUGAGUAUAUGGAAUGGAAUGUUAGUUGCUUAAUGUUAAUAGGAAAGAACAUGACAUCUUUGGAUUACAGAGACAUUAUUUUUCCUUUCUAUCUCUUUGCAAGGCCAUUUGAUUUGUGUGCUUUGUUAAAUUCCCAUUGCAUUCAUGUAAUAAAACCUUUUUUUUCAUGCAGAAUGAAUUGCCCAAAGUCUAGUGAAUGAAAGCCUUGUCUUUGUUUUAUAUUGAUUUAGUUUCGAUCUCUUGAACCUGAUUUGCAAAUGCCUUGUUUCCAUAUCAAUUAUCAUAUGUUAGUGAGCAAUUAAUUAUGUCAUUAAGUCCACUUUCUAGUGGCUGAAUGAAAUGGCCCAAUGCAACUAGAGCUUUCUUGUGGAUUUUCACUUGUUCAUAAUGCCAAGUGCUAAAGGGUAAAUGUUGGUUCCCACACUAUUCGAUCAAAGCUUUAAAUGAUUGUUUACAUUGAUUACUAGGUUUCCUACCAUAACUUAGACCUUUUCCACUUUUGAAGAUAAAAUUGAACGUCUAAUUUUUAUUAUACAUAUUAUAAUAUAUGGUUAAAAGAACACUUUGCAGAUCGAUCUAUAAAAGAAUUGAUAUGGUUUGAUUCCUCAAUUGAAUCAAUAGUAUCUCUAGAGUCCAAUUCUUCCCAACACUAUGCGUGCAAAGAGAAAAAGUAAAGACUACCAUUAAAGCAGUCCAAACAAGACUUAGAGUGCGUUUGAAAGUGUUUUUAUUUGAAGUAUUUUUAAUUUAAGUGUUUUUGAAAGAAUCACAUAUCAAAUACUUCUCCAAAAGGUACUACUAGUGAUUUUUCAACUUUUUAAAAGUACUUACCGAAUUUUGCCAAACGCCUUAUUUUUCUUUACAAACGCCUUUUAUGCUAAAAGUGCUUUCUCAAAUAGUGGAAUCAAUAGCAAAAGUCAAAAAAGGAUUAUGACCAACUACAUUGAUGAACCAAUCCUAUAAAUCCACUUAUGAUAAAACAAGCCCUUAUAGGAUUUCUAGUAGAGUCAGAAAACAUUAAGCAGAAGCACAAUAUGCUUGGAUAUGAGAACUUUAGCCUCACUACCAAGUCUAAUUAUUUUGUUAUAUGUCAGUUGUACUUUUCCUUUUCUUAUUUUUUGCUUCCUUUUGUGAAUUACAGCCAGCUGAAGGGUCUUGAUUUGGAUGGAACUUUACCUGAUGAGUUUGGAAAUCUUUCUUAUCUGCAAGAACUGUAAGUGACAUGUUUCUCAACAUUGGGAAGUCAAUGGACCAAAUUUGCCUUGAUGUUUCAUUGGGUUUUUCAACUUAUCAAACAAAUUUCUUAACUCACCAAUACCUUAAUCCCUACUACAUGGGGUUGCAGUUUCACUAAACUAUAGAGGUUAGUUCACUUAUGAUGUGUUUGAAUAUCCCAUGAAAUUAAGUUAGACCAUUGUGUUUCAAAUAACAUUCAAAACAAGUCCAUUGCGUUUACUGUAGUAUUUACAUGAUUUUAUUGCCUUUUAAAAUAAAUAAUAAUAAUAACAAGUGCAGGCAAAGAUUAAAACAAAUGAUCUCAUUUCACUUUUGUUGUGGUGAUUACCAACUUUUGUGAUUUCUAGUAAUAGUAAUAGACUGGAUAAACUGUCAUGGGGCAGCCCAAUAUAGCAUGAAAAUUAUUUGAUCAUCAUCAUCGGAUUCGGUUUUUGAUAUUGUACAGUCAUCUCCAGUAUCUGACUUGAACCCAAAUGAGGGAUUCUUCUUUUAUCCGGUGACCAUGUAAAAUUAAGAUAUACUAAGGGAUUCUUUUUUACUAAAACAGUGAUCUCUCCCGAAACUAUAUCAAUGGAUCGAUCCCUACAAGUCUUGGUCAGCUUUUUCUUACCAUUCUGUAAGUUCUGAUUAAUUGCAUUUGCACUUGUGAGGUGAGGAUCUUGUUUUCCAGUAAUUUACUAAGUACUUCAUAGUUGGGAAAGUUUAACUUUUGGUACACUGCAGCGCUCUUCCUGGAAAUAGAAUCUCUGGGUCGAUUCCUCAUGAAAUCAGUAAUAUCAGUACACUUGAGGAGCUGUAAGUCAUGAAAUGGAGUUGAAUGUCUAUUAGAGAAAUUAAUUAUGCCCAACCUUGAUUAUAAAUCCAAAUUUUCUUUUCCAGGGUCUUGGAAGCUAAUCAGCUUGGAGAACAUCUCCCUCCAAGUCUUGGAAAGUUGAGUCAUUUAAGGAGACUGUAAGAAUGCUGUUCUCAUCCCAUUCCUUGUAUGCAUAUUAAUUAUUCAUUUCUUUUAUUUCAAAUAAUCACUAAGUCCUUAUAUUCUGGUUGUAGCCUGCUUAGCUGCCAAAAUGCCCAAAAUCAAUUUGAGGAAGCUAAUUUUUUGAGUCAAAGACUUUUAUAAUGCAUUUUGUGUGAUGAAAUGACUCAUGGAUAUGGUGAGUGUAUAUUGGUUGAGUUCAUUUUCAGUUGCACGAUUGCUUAUUUUUUAGUUCAUUUACUUCGAGUUAAUGAAAAUAAUGGGAAGAUGGAUUUUCAUAUAUCUGAAAGUGCAAUCUACCUUUUUUGUUCCUUUAUCUCCAGGGUGAAUCAUGAGAAAUAUUUAUAACCAAGAAGACAAAUAUAGGCGAACAUGGCUAUGAACUAGGCGGUUUUUAUGGACUGACAGAUGGAAAUUCAUAUAGGCUAUAUCUAUUUUUCUAACAUUAAGAAACCGAGUUUAGUAUUCAUUAAUUCAUCCUAUGAUGAAAUGGAGAUGUCGAGCAUGAUUUGUAAUGCUUCAUAGAGAAUAGAAGUAAAGAUGAUGAGGACUAAUCUGCUGGGUAUUUACACCUUGUGCUUUUAAUGCCAAAAGUUCAUGAUUUGGGAAGUUACUUUGUUUGGAGGGUGAUUAACAUUGUUGGGGAAUUAUUUUUUCUUAAUGUUUUCAACAAAAGACUUUGCAUUGACCCUCUAUUCUGGUUGUGUUGUCUAAUUACUAUUUCCAGGGAAUUCAUCUGUUUUUUUUCUUUUGGUUCUCCUACAGUGUUCUUUCUGCAAACAAUUUCGUUGGAACAAUACCAGAAAAUUUUCACAAUCUGAAGAACCUAACUGAUUUGUAAGUGGUAUAAUUAUAUGGACAUUUAUCCUUUUAUGCAAAUUUAGAAAUUUCUGAACUCCGUGUACCAUUUGCAGUAGGAUAGAUGGGAAUAAUUUAUCUGGGAAGAUACCAGAUUGGAUUGGGAAUUGGACCAAACUUCAGAAACUGUGAGUAUUAUACUUCAUUUCAUUUAUCUGCCAAUUUGUCCACUGAGAAAAAUUCCAUACAAGCUCAGUUAAAUUCUCUAGUUAUCUAUAAAGAUAUUAAACUGUUGCAGGUAUCUGCAAGGCACAUCAAUGGACGGGCCCAUUCCUUCUACUAUAUCCCAGUUGAAAAACUUAAUCGAGUUGUGAGCAUGUGUUCCACUAUCUGAUAGUUGCUUUAUUCAGUUCAUGAUGUUAUCCACGGUUAAAAUUGAAUUCAUAGAAAUAUAAGCAUGUAAUUUGUUUUGUUGUAUCUUAAUCGUCAGGUUAAUAUCUGAUUUGAGUGGACCGACUACAUCUUUCCCCAAUUUGAAGGAUAUGAAAAACUUAAAAAUAUUGUGAGUUGAAGAUAGAUAUACUUCAGGAAUCAUUGACAAGCUGCAGUCUCAAGUUAUCCACUUUAUGUUCCAUUGACUUAUCAAGAUGUUUUACUCAUUUGUGUUAUGCAGGGUGAUGAGAAAUUGCUCCAUUACAGGUGAAAUCCUAGAAGACAUUGGAUAUAUUGGGAGUUUAAAACUUUUGUAAGUUUUUUUGAAUGGACAUUCUUAGAGAUGUUCUUGAUUUUCUUCAUUGGUAUAUAUGUAUAUAAGAAGAAGAAAAAUAUAAUUCUCCUAUGGCAUACAAUCAGUAAAUUACAUGGUUAUAUCGACACAACUUUUCUGAUUCAUGUUGAAAUUUUUGCUUGCAGAGACCUGACCUUCAACAGACUGAAUCAUACAAUUCCAGUGAGCUUUAAGCAAGAAAAGAAGGAGAAAAUAAAACUCGAUUUCAUGUAAGUUAGAUACUUGUAAUAAAGUACAAGUCUAAAUAUCCAGAAAUCUACAUUUUAUUUGCUCCUUAACCAGUCAUUUUUAUCCAUUAAUAGCUUGUUUAAUUAUAACUGAGAUAUGGUGCUAUCUAUGUACACAGGUUUCUCACCAACAACUCACUGACUGGAGAAGUGCCCAGCUGGAUAAUAUCAGACGCUGAAAACAAAAUGUUGGUAUUUCUCAGUCUCCUGUUGUUCUGAUUUGGCUAUGAAAUCAUUCAUGUAAUGUGCAAUGUUACAUACACAAGUGGUCUCUUUUUAGCAGUGGUUCUUUGAAACCAAAUUAAUAUUUCAAUCUUUCAUUCAAUCAAGAAAUAAAACACCAACUCCAUUUCAAUCUCGGUUGCAGUGAUUUAUCUUACAACAAUUUUACAGGGCCGCACCUUGAUUCUUGCAAAAACCAAGUGUAAGCUUUCUUCCUUCCAUUAUUUGUACAUUUGGUUCUGUUUUUCCCUCAUCUUCUUGAAACAUUUUUUCACAACUCCACAGGAACUUGGUUUCCAGUUAUGCAUCUUCAGCAAGAAACAUGUAAGUUCUUCCAACCUUGUUUUACAUGUGCAUUCAGCAUUAGAAUUAUAAACAAGAGACUGAAUCAAAGUUCAACUUUGUAGGACCCCUUGGUGCUUACAGAAGGAUCUCCCUUGCUCUGGAAAAGCCAAAUGUAAGCUUUUGUAACCUAUUGUACUCUGUUAGUAUGAAGUGGCAAAUAAGUUGAAUCUCUGGCAUGAUUCCAAUUACAUUUAAUUGCAGACUAUUCCUUGUAUAUCAAUUGUGGAGGAGAGGAAACAACUUUUAAAGGGAAGACAUAUGAAAAAGACAACAAUGUUGAGGGUGCGUCACAGUUCUUUACUGAUGGUAUAGACAAAUGGGCUUAUAGCAGUACAGGGGCUUUCAUAGGUAACCAGGGUGGUAGUCACCUAGCCAAAAACACAUCUGCUUUGAACUCAGAGGAUGCAGAGAUGUACCAAACUGCUCGUCUUGCUCCCAUCUCACUCAAGUAUUAUGGGCUUUGCUUGCGAAAGGGCCCUUAUAAAGUGCGACUCCAAUUUGCUGAAAUCAUGUUUUU
RNAcentral lists this long non-coding RNA (20268 nucleotides) under Vitis vinifera (wine grape). RNAcentral describes it as "long non-coding RNA (VVIN_LNC006372)". Lineage: Eukaryota; Viridiplantae; Streptophyta; Magnoliopsida; Vitales; Vitaceae. The record is from RNAcentral.